RNAcentral lists this ribosomal RNA (253 nucleotides) under uncultured bacterium. RNAcentral's name for it is "partial 16S ribosomal RNA". It matches the Rfam family "Bacterial small subunit ribosomal RNA", at positions 524 to 776 of the family's 1533-position model. The record is from RNAcentral.
UACGGAGGGUGCGAGCGUUGUCCGGAAUCACUGGGCGUAAAGAGCGCGCAGGCGGUCGGACAAGUCGCGUGUGAAAGCCCCCGGCUCAACUGGGGAGGGUCACGCGAUACUGUUCGACUCGAAGGCAGGAGAGGGAAGUGGAAUUCCCGGUGUAGUGGUGAAAUGCGUAGAUAUCGGGAGGAACACCAGUGGCGAAGGCGACUUCCUGGCCUGUUCUUGACGCUGAGGCGCGAAAGCUAGGGUAGCAAACGGG